Molecule: transfer RNA, 72 nt
Filed under: Camelus bactrianus (Bactrian camel)
Lineage: Eukaryota; Metazoa; Chordata; Mammalia; Artiodactyla; Camelidae
Also listed under: 2 other names
Rfam family: tRNA
About the family: Transfer RNA (tRNA) molecules are approximately 80 nucleotides in length. Their secondary structure includes four short double-helical elements and three loops (D, anti-codon, and T loops).
Source: Rfam by way of RNAcentral
GGUGGUAUGGCUUAGUGAUAGAACACGUGCUUAGCAUGCACAAGGUUUUGGGUUCAACCCCCAGUAUCUCCU